Molecule: ribosomal RNA, 402 nt
Filed under: uncultured bacterium
Lineage: Bacteria
Description: bacterial SSU rRNA
Rfam family: Bacterial small subunit ribosomal RNA
Source: RNAcentral
GUGGGGAAUAUUGGACAAUGGGCGAAAGCCUGAUCCAGCAAUGCCGCGUGAGUGAUGAAGGCCUUAGGGUUGUAAAGCUCUUUUACCCGGGAUGAUAAUGACAGUACCGGGAGAAUAAGCCCCGGCUAACUCCGUGCCAGCAGCCGCGGUAAUACGAAGGGGGCUAGCGUUGUUCGGAAUUACUGGGCGUAAAGGGCGCGUAGGCGGCGCAUUAAGUCAGGUGUGAAAGCCCUGGGCUCAACCCAGGAAUUGCACUUGAUACUGAUGUGCUUGAAUCCGGAAGAGGAUGACGGAAUUCCCAGUGUAGAGGUGAAAUUCAUUGAUAUUGGGAAGAACACCAGUGGCGAAGGCGGUCAUCUGGUCCGGUAUUGACGCUGAGGCGCGAAAGCGUGGGGAGCAAAC